GGGUUGUGAGGUUAAGCGACUAAGCGUACACGGUGGAUGCCCUGGCAGUCAGAGGCGAUGAAGGGCGUGCUAAUCUGCGAUAAGCGCCGGUAAGGUGAUAUGAACCGUUAUAACCGGCGAUACCCGAAUGGGGAAACCCAGUGUGAUUCGUCACACUAUCAUUAACUGAAUCCAUAGGUUAAUGAGGCGAACC
Molecule: ribosomal RNA, 193 nt
Filed under: Salmonella enterica subsp. enterica
Lineage: Bacteria; Pseudomonadati; Pseudomonadota; Gammaproteobacteria; Enterobacterales; Enterobacteriaceae
Description: partial 23S ribosomal RNA
Rfam family: Bacterial large subunit ribosomal RNA
Source: RNAcentral